AUUGAACGCUGGCGGCAGGCUUAACACAUGCAAGUCGAGCGGGGAGAGGUAGCUUGCUACAUAACCUAGCGGCGGACGGGUGAGUAAUGCUUAGGAAUCUGCCUAUUAGUGGGGGACAACAUCUCGAAAGGGAUGCUAAUACCGCAUACGUCCUACGGGAGAAAGCAGGGGACCUUCGGGCCUUGCGCUAAUAGAUGAGCCUAAGUCGGAUUAGCUAGUUGGUGGGGUAAAGGCCUACCAAGGCGACGAUCUGUAGCGGGUCUGAGAGGAUGAUCCGCCACACUGGGACUGAGACACGGCCCAGACUCCUACGGGAGGCAGCAGUGGGGAAUAUUGGACAAUGGGGGGAACCCUGAUCCAGCCAUGCCGCGUGUGUGAAGAAGGCCUUUUGGUUGUAAAGCACUUUAAGCGAGGAGGAGGCUACCGAGAUUAAUACUCUUGGAUAGUGGACGUUACUCGCAGAAUAAGCACCGGCUAACUCUGUGCCAGCAGCCGCGGUAAUACAGAGGGUGCAAGCGUUAAUCGGAUUUACUGGGCGUAAAGCGCGCGUAGGUGGCCAAUUAAGUCUAAUGUGAAAUCCCCGAGCUUAACUUGGGAAUUGCAUUCGAUACUGGUUGGCUAGAGUAUGGGAGAGGAUGGUAGAAUUCCAGGUGUAGCGGUGAAAUGCGUAGAGAUCUGGAGGAAUACCGAUGGCGAAGGCAGCCAUCUGGCCUAAUACUGACACUGAGGUGCGAAAGCAUGGGGAGCAAACAGGAUUAGAUACCCUGGUAGUCCAUGCCGUAAACGAUGUCUACUAGCCGUUGGGGCCUUUGAGGCUUUAGUGGCGCAGCUAACGCGAUAAGUAGACCGCCUGGGGAGUACGGUCUGAAGACUAAAACUC
RNAcentral lists this ribosomal RNA (880 nucleotides) under Acinetobacter lwoffii. RNAcentral's name for it is "bacterial SSU rRNA". It matches the Rfam family "Bacterial small subunit ribosomal RNA", at positions 28 to 902 of the family's 1533-position model. Lineage: Bacteria; Pseudomonadati; Pseudomonadota; Gammaproteobacteria; Moraxellales; Moraxellaceae. The record is from RNAcentral.